AUUCAGCUGACGUGUCCCAAAUAGGACGAAACGCGCGUCCUGGAU
This 45-nucleotide non-coding RNA is filed under the name Schistosoma mansoni. Lineage: Eukaryota; Metazoa; Platyhelminthes; Trematoda; Strigeidida; Schistosomatidae. The record is from RNAcentral.